This 942-nucleotide long non-coding RNA is filed under the name Physcomitrium patens. Its description in RNAcentral is "long non-coding RNA (PPAT_LNC004759)". The record is from RNAcentral. Lineage: Eukaryota; Viridiplantae; Streptophyta; Bryopsida; Funariales; Funariaceae.
UGCUCUAAUUAGACUAUAAUAAUGCUAAAUAAGCUUAAUCAAAUUCAAAAAAAUCUCAAAGAAAUUUCAAACAAACAAUAGGAAUUUUUAAAGAAACAUUAGAAAAAAAUACAAAUAUCAUUCAAAUAUAUUUCAAUUCAAUCUUAAUUUAAUUCUAAUUAAAAUCCUAUUGAACUUCAUUCAAAAUUUAGGCCAAAACUAAUUGAAACUUAAAUCCUAAUAAAAUCCUAAAUUCUAAAUCAAACCCUAAACAAACCUUAAACCAAACCCCAACCAAAUCCUAAACCAAAUCCUAACCAAACCCUAAACCAAAUCCUAAAUUCUAAAUCAAACCCUAACCAAAUCCUAAAUCCUAAAUUAAAUCCUAAACCAAAUCCUAACCAAACCUUAAAUCCUAAAUCAAACCCUAAUCCAAAUCCUAAUAAUUCCUACAACAGAUUUAAACCUCAAUAACUAAUGAAUAAACCAUUGAUCUUAACUCAAUUUUUUCACACUUCUAAAAACAUUAGAUUAAAAACAAGCACAAAAAAAUUGAUAAGGAUCGGAAAUACCAAAUUGACAAUAUCCUCAAAAAUGUGCUCGGGUAUUGGCCGGCCUCCUUCUCCAAUCUUGAUGCCAAUCUUCCAGAGCCAAUAUCUCUCUUUCUCAUUAUUCGAUUGAUCUCAAAAUUCUCAUACACAUAGAAAAAUAAGUCUAAUAUCCUCUUACAUAAGUUUCACUCCAAUCCAAUGAAUAGAUUGCAAGAAAUUUCAAAAACCCCCACUAGACCUAAAAUUCUACUUUUUGAGACCUUGACGCACUUAAACCUCAAUAUCACUCAAUUCAAUCGUUAGAUCAAGCUCAAAUUCACGAUACAUAUUAAACACAACUAUAAACAUAAACUCACAAAAUUUCACCUAUAGAUCUAUUACAAAACUCUUGAAAUCACCCAAAAUAUAAACC